UAAUACAGAGGGUGCGAGCGUUGUCCGGAAUCACUGGGCGUAAAGGGCGCGUAGGUGGCGCGGUAAGCGUGCGGUGAAAGCUCGGGGCUCAACCCCGAGUCGGCCGUGCGAACUGCCGGGCUGGAGCACUGUAGAGGCGGGUGGAAUUCCGGGUGUAGCGGUGGAAUGCGUAGAGAUCCGGAAGAACACCGGUGGCGAAGGCGGCCCGCUGGGCAGUUGCUGACACUGAGGCGCGACAGCGUGGGGAGCAAACAGGAUUAGAUACCCUGGUAGUCCACGCCGUAAACGAUGGGCACUAGGUGCUUGGGGGAGCGACCCCCUGAGUGCCGGCGCUAACGCAUUAAGUGCCCCGCCUGGGGAGUACGACCGCAAGGUUG
This 377-nucleotide ribosomal RNA is filed under the name uncultured bacterium. Its description in RNAcentral is "bacterial SSU rRNA". It matches the Rfam family "Bacterial small subunit ribosomal RNA", at positions 521 to 896 of the family's 1533-position model. The record is from RNAcentral.